AAAAGUCACUAUUCAUUUAACUUUUGUAAAAGAAUCAAAGCAUCUUCACUAUUCAUUCAGCUUUUGAAGAAGAAACAACGUGAUUACACAGCUUUGCCAGCCUUCUUCAGAGGACAGCGGGAUUCCCGGAUCUUUUUGGCAAGCCUCAUUCAGUCUCCUCGCUCUUUAUAAGAAUGACUCAUAUUCAGAAGAGGAACAUAGUUUUUAGAACUCAAUAGCUCAGUUCAAUAUCAUCUCUCUGCUCAUCCACAAAGGACAGAGAUUAUUUUCCAAACACUUGUAAUACCUAUAUUAUUCAGGAUGCUUGCGAGCUCCACCUGGUUUACUUGUUUCAUCUGCCAUUAGGCAACAUCUGUUUGUAAUCUGCAUUGCAAAAAAAUUUAAAAAUUGGCAGGACAGUCUUUUUCCCUUCAACCGGAUUGAAAGCCCCAUCAAGGUUUUUAUCAAGGCCCAUUGAUGGACCCUAUCCUCUUUUGUGUACGUAUCUUUCUCAUCUUAUUGAAUAUCGCACUCUUUUUAUAAAAAAAAUUAGUCAUUAUAAGUAAAAGUAUGAUCAAUUUUUAGAAAAUUCUAUUUUAUGAGCCCAUUAUAAAUUUCUCGCUCCACCACUAAACUUGCAAUCAUAUAUGAGCUUCAUAUGGGAACUUCAUUAGACUCAAUAUAUUUUAAUGAGUAUUUUCAAAAUACAAAUAAUGCUUGUUGAAAUUCAUGGUAACUUUUCCUUUCCCUUCAAGAUCAUUUAUUAAUUGAAUUAAAAUUCUUGUUAAAAUCAGUAUUUCAAAAUACAAAUAAUGCUUGUUCAAAUUCAUGAUAACUUUUCCUUUCCUUUCAAAUCCAUUUAUUAAUUGAAUUAAAAUUCUGGUAAAAAAACGUUGGCUGGCACUAUUGCAACCAUUCCUCUCUUCAUUUGAUUUUUUUUUUAAUUUUAUUAUUAUUAUAAGGAUGAGAAGGAUUCGAAAUUAUUACAAUAAUUAAAGGGAAGAGGAGUUUCGAACCCAACACGCAAGAUUAAAAACCUAACACUAAAUUAUAUAUGCACUAGAAUAUUAAACCACAUGCUUCAUAUUAUUAUUAUUGUGCCAAUUAUUUCGUUAAUUCUUCAACUUUAUAUACAUAGUAAAUCUCCAAAGUUUAUGAUUUUUGUUUCCUACACCGAAUGGAAGAUCCACCCUUUUCUUUUCAAAUUGAUCCAAUAUUGAUCGGAGUUCUUUUUGUAUGCUAUAAUUAUUCUCUCUCCAUUACAAAUUGACUAAUUUAAAUCUGGGGAAAUUAAACUUUAAAAAAACGAAAAUAAUUAAUCUACACAGAUUUGUAAUGAUCUUCAUUUCUUUUGGUAGGAAAUAACUGGAUAUGAUUCAUUCAAUUUCUAUUACUUUAUUCAUAUGCCAAUUAGAAAAUAAAAAAAAAAGCAAUAAAUACAAGACAAUGUAGGGAACGGUGGCAAGGUCAGCUUUCUGGGCAUAACAUUUGUGAAAUGGUGAACAUUGUUGGCAAAGGAUUAUACUGGUUUCUUGGUUACCUCCAACGUGUGGAUGCUAAACGGGUGAAUGAUCAAUAUAUAUAUAUAUAUAACGGAUUCAUCGUUAUCGUGACAUCUUUAUUCAUUAAUAAAUUGUUAUAUAAAGAAAAACUUACACAUGAUAACGCAUAUAAUUAAGCGCAUAAAUCUUACGUGACAAUAAACUCAUUCUACAUAUAACGUCUCAGGCUUGAUGGACUCACUUUGCUAAUGUUUUCAUUAAUUGGUUUAAUUCCUGUUAAUUUUGUAUUACGCAUUGUAGUGUUGGAUUCACAAACUUUUUAAUUCUCCACUUUCAAUUGAAUAAACAAGUGUGGUAUGUAUUUCAAACAAACAAGAUUGAACAUCUAAUUAAUGAUUUGUUCAUCUUCUUCUGGCAAGCAAGAAAAAACUAGUUAUGAGAUGAGGCCAAGUUUGAAUUGCGCGACAUAAACCAAAUUUUCCAAUCGCAAAUUUGGUGAUAAAUAAAUUAAUUUCAAUAAGUGAAAAACUCAAAUAGAUUACAUAAUUUGAUUUUUUUUUUUUUAAGGGGAUUAGCUCGUGGGAAAGCUAUAGUAGUCCACCUCUUCGGAGGUCGGAAAGACUUGCAGAGACAGUUCAGUCAUCAUCUGACUACCAUCGUAUGAUUCACUAUCGUUAAAAAUCAAACCUAUGACAAGGUGUGUGGAAUGCGAAUUUGAAAUUGGUGAAGGAUUUUUCAAAAUUUCCCCCUCCAUACAUAUUUAUAUUUAUCAAACCCUCCAUACAUAUAACAAUUGGAAAAUUAACUUAAUUAAUAUGGGGUAAAACAGUAGUCUACGAUUUUGGUCGCAAUUAAUUUGAAGAGUGAGAUGGAGAUCUUGGUGGUGUUGAUUUAAAAAGGAGGCCUCCUCAUCGGACGGUGUUGGUGAAUAGCGCCAUGCAGCAGUCAAAGGGUGUCAGUAGCAAUUAUUUGAGAAUCAAAAUUAAGAAAUGUGGUCAAGUUCUUCAAAUCUAGUUGAAUUUGCUAAACCACCACCUGUUAAAAGAGAGAGAAAAGAAGUUAUAAACAUUAUCAAAAUUGUAUCAAUCUUAACGAAGACAUCAAAAAACAAAUAUUGGAAAAGAAAAUGAAAAUUGUUUGAAAUCAAAAUCAAAAUCUCUAAUUGGGUGGCAUGAAAGGGAAAAGGGAGAGACUCUCAGCAACAAUAAAAAUGAGUAGCAUGGGAAAGAAUUCAUGUUAUGUCAUCUUCUUAAUUUUAUGAAGAAGAGAAGAUGGACAUAGAUUGUGAGAUCGCCCUCCCUACCACUCAUCUUCACUGACCUCUGAGAGAUUAUCUCUCAUUUCAACUUAGCAAGUUCUAAGAAUGUAUGUUGUGGUUACAUGGCCUUAAUUUAUAGAAACUCAGGGGCACACAGAUUCAUAAUUCAUGAACUUCAUGUCACUCUCGUAACGCUACCAAUCUCGAGAAAAACAUGUGCAUUCACGUGAUAAGAGAGAUGAAACGUUUAAAUUUGACUCGACAAUAAAAGAAAAUAAUCUAAGAGCCAUAAGGGUUGGUGAGUAAGUUGUCAGUUUCCUUUUUCUUAUGAGACCCAUCAGGACUGGUGACUAGAGGCCUGGUUUAAUGUACUUGGAUCUGAUAUCUCGUAGUUGGAUUCACCUUGCACAUUUUCCAGCCCAAAAAAUUUUCAACUAAUGUCCGACCUUAUCAUAAGCAUAGUUCAAAGCAUGUGAUAUUUUAUUGGAUAUCGUGCUGGAUUUUUAUCCAUGCCUCGACGGUUUGAUGUAGUAUACUGUAUAUGCAAUACAAGGAAAAAAAUAUUGUUCUCAA
Pyrus x bretschneideri (Chinese white pear) is the source of this 3312-nucleotide long non-coding RNA. RefSeq lists it as uncharacterized. The transcript has 2 exons. The record is from RefSeq and is a predicted model, not a curated record. NCBI's taxonomy places the organism in Eukaryota, Viridiplantae, Streptophyta, Magnoliopsida, Rosales, Rosaceae.